AUAUUGCGCAAUGGAGGGAACUCUGACGCAGCGACGCCGCGUGAGCGUUGAAGGUUUUAGGAUCGUAAAGCUCUGUCCUUGGGGAAGAAGGUCUUCGGACUUGACGGUACCAAAGGAGGAAGACCCGGCUAACUCCGUGACAGCAGCCGCGGUAAAACGUAGGGGGCAAGCGUUGUCCGGAAUUAUUUGGCGUAAAGGGUGCGUAGGCGGCCUUUUAAGUCAGGUGUUAAAGCCCACGGCUUAACCGUGGGAUUGCAUUUGAAACUGGAAGGCUUGAGUAUCGGGGAGGGUAGUGGAAUUCCCAGUGUAGCGGUGGAAUGCGUAGAUAUUGGGAGGAACACCAGUGGCGAAGGCGACUACCUGGACGAAAACUGACGCUGAGGCACGAAAGCUAGGGGAGCAAACA
This 406-nucleotide ribosomal RNA is filed under the name uncultured bacterium. RNAcentral's name for it is "partial 16S ribosomal RNA". It matches the Rfam family "Bacterial small subunit ribosomal RNA", at positions 361 to 774 of the family's 1533-position model. The record is from RNAcentral.